AGAGUGAACGCUGGCGGUAGGCCUAACACAUGCAAGUCGAACGGCAGCACAGUAGGAGCUUGCUCUUACGGGUGGCGAGUGGCGGACGGGUGAGGAAUACAUCGGAAUCUACCUUCUGGUGGGGGAUAACGUAGGGAAACUUACGCUAAUACCGCAUACGCCCUUCGGGGGAAAGCCGGGGACCAGCAAUGGCCUGGCGCUGAUAGAUGAGCCGAUGUCGGAUUAGCUAGUUGGUGAGGUAAUGGCUCACCAAGGCGACGAUCCGUAGCUGGUCUGAGAGGAUGAUCAGCCACACUGGAACUGAGACACGGUCCAGACUCCUACGGGAGCAGCAGUGGGGAAUAUUGGACAAUGGGCGAAAGCCUGAUCCAGCCAUGCCGCGUGUGUGAAGAAGGUCUUCGGAAUUGUAAAGCUACUUAAGUUGGAGGAAGGUUGUAAACCUAAUACGUUGCAACUUGACGUUACCGACAGAAUAAGCACCGGACUAACUUCGUA
RNAcentral lists this ribosomal RNA (495 nucleotides) under uncultured soil bacterium. Its description in RNAcentral is "bacterial SSU rRNA". It matches the Rfam family "Bacterial small subunit ribosomal RNA", at positions 26 to 507 of the family's 1533-position model. The record is from RNAcentral.